RNAcentral lists this ribosomal RNA (339 nucleotides) under Klebsiella pneumoniae. RNAcentral's name for it is "bacterial LSU rRNA". It matches the Rfam family "Bacterial large subunit ribosomal RNA", at positions 922 to 1258 of the family's 2925-position model. The record is from RNAcentral. Lineage: Bacteria; Pseudomonadati; Pseudomonadota; Gammaproteobacteria; Enterobacterales; Enterobacteriaceae.
GGGGGUCAUCCCGACUUACCAACCCGAUGCAAACUACGAAUACCGAAGAAUGUUAUCACGGGAGACACACGGCGGGUGCUAACGUCCGUCGUGAAGAGGGAAACAACCCAGACCGCCAGCUAAGGUCCCAAAGUCAUGGUUAAGUGGGAAACGAUGUGGGAAGGCACAGACAGCCAGGAUGUUGGCUUAGAAGCAGCCAUCAUUUAAAGAAAGCGUAAUAGCUCACUGGUCGAGUCGGCCUGCGCGGAAGAUGUAACGGGGCUAAACCAUGCACCGAAGCUGCGGCAGCGACACUAUGUGUUGUUGGGUAGGGGAGCGUUCUGUAAGCCUGCGAAGGUG